This 468-nucleotide ribosomal RNA is filed under the name uncultured bacterium. RNAcentral's name for it is "partial 16S ribosomal RNA". It matches the Rfam family "Bacterial small subunit ribosomal RNA", at positions 28 to 523 of the family's 1533-position model. The record is from RNAcentral.
GAUGAACGCUGGCGGCGUGCCUAACACAUGCAAGUCGAGCGAUUUACUUCGGUAAAGAGCGGCGGACGGGUGAGUAACGCGUGGGUAACCUGCCCUGUACACACGGAUAACAUACCGAAAGGUAUGCUAAUACGGGAUAAUAUGCUUUUAUCGCAUGGUAGAAGUAUCAAAGCUUCUGCGGUACAGGAUGGACCCGCGUCUGAUUAGCUAGUUGGUAAGGUAACGGCUUACCAAGGCGACGAUCAGUAGCCGACCUGAGAGGGUGAUCGGCCACAUUGGAACUGAGACACGGUCCAAACUCCUACGGGAGGCAGCAGUGGGGAAUAUUGCACAAUGGGCGAAAGCCUGAUGCAGCAACGCCGCGUGAGCGAUGAAGGCCUUGGGGUCGUAAAGCUCUGUCCUCAAGGAAGAUAAUGACGGUACUUGAGGAGGAAGCCCCGGCUAACUACGUGCCAGCCGCCGCCGUAA